GGGACCGCCGCCCCAGCUCGAGGACCCGUUAGACCGGCAAACCGCAGUCCCUGCCCCGCGGGCUUCCUUUACUUUUUGGGAGUGGGGGGCGGUUUCCCUGCUUUUUCCACCACAGCCCCUCCUCCCGCCGCAAUGUGGCUGAUGCUCAUAAAAAGUUGUAUUAAAGAGCUGACUGCAGCCGAGAAUCGAUCAACAAAAGCGACCAGCCUCUCUGGGUCUAUCCACGGCCUUCUCAACAGAUGACUUCAAGUUGAUUUCGUGCUUUAUUUCUUAAGAAUAGUGACUAACCUAAGGGAUCUGAUUCAAUUUAUUAGGAACACAGUGCCACCUUCCAAAAUUACUUACCUAAGAGGACUGAGCCUGCUGUCCCUGGAGCAGUUAGCUAAAACAGUGCCUCAGUACGGAGCGUACCUGUGUUAACUUCUAGAGUGCUGUUUCCGGCAGCUGCUGAAAUCCACGCUGAGGUUAUCAAGCUCAUCCUACAAAAUAAAGCAAGUUCUUCGCAAUUUAAAGCAAAAAUCUGGGCUUAUUUUUAGGGUUUUGGGGGAUGUGAAAGUUGUCUUAGAUAAGAUUCCAGGAAAGCUAAGAACUAACGAUGCAAUUACAGUCACCUUUCAACAACUUUGGGGAUUGGGUUGAGGAAGGUGUGAAAUUGGGAAAUAUAAUAAAAGGUAUUAUAUUAGUGACUUUC
Molecule: long non-coding RNA, 691 nt
Organism: Homo sapiens (human)
Lineage: Eukaryota; Metazoa; Chordata; Mammalia; Primates; Hominidae
Gene: CT66
Product: cancer/testis associated transcript 66
Source: Ensembl